UGCAAGUCGAGCGGACAGAUGGGAGCUUGCUCCCUGAUGUUAGCGGCGGACGGGUGAGUAACACGUGGGUAACCUGCCUGUAAGACUGGGAUAACUCCGGGAAACCGGGGCUAAUACCGGAUGCUUGUUUGAACCGCAUGGUUCAAACAUAAAAGGUGGCUUCGGCUACCACUUACAGAUGGACCCGCGGCGCAUUAGCUAGUUGGUGAGGUAACGGCUCACCAAGGCAACGAUGCGUAGCCGACCUGAGAGGGUGAUCGGCCACACUGGGACUGAGACACGGCCCAGACUCCUACGGGAGGCAGCAGUAGGGAAUCUUCCGCAAUGGACGAAAGUCUGACGGAGCAACGCCGCGUGAGUGAUGAAGGUUUUCGGAUCGUAAAGCUCUGUUGUUAGGGAAGAACAAGUACCGUUCGAAUAGGGCGGUACCUUGACGGUACCUAACCAGAAAGCCACGGCUAACUACGUGCCAGCAGCCGCGGUAAUACGUAGGUGGCAAGCGUUGUCCGGAAUUAUUGGGCGUAAAGGGCUCGCAGGCGGUUUCUUAAGUCUGAUGUGAAAGCCCCCGGCUCAACCGGGGAGGGUCAUUGGAAACUGGGGAACUUGAGUGCAGAAGAGGAGAGUGGAAUUCCACGUGUAGCGGUGAAAUGCGUAGAGAUGUGGAGGAACACCAGUGGCGAAGGCGACUCUCUGGUCUGUAACUGACGCUGAGGAGCGAAAGCGUGGGGAGCGAACAGGAUUAGAUACCCUGGUAGUCCACGCC
RNAcentral lists this ribosomal RNA (763 nucleotides) under Bacillus subtilis. RNAcentral's name for it is "bacterial SSU rRNA". It matches the Rfam family "Bacterial small subunit ribosomal RNA", at positions 56 to 801 of the family's 1533-position model. The record is from RNAcentral. Lineage: Bacteria; Bacillati; Bacillota; Bacilli; Caryophanales; Bacillaceae.